AGGUCACACGCUUCUACCACUGGGGUGACUAUACAUCCAUUCAUUAUAACACAAAGAAUUGUACAUAUUAUAAAAACACAUUUUAUUUGACUUUUCCAUGUCAUGUCAGCAUCUUCUUCAACCUCUCUCUCUCUCUCUCUCUCUCUCUCUCUCUCUUCAUUAUAACACAAAGAAUUGUACAUAUUAUAAAAACACAUUUUAUUUGACUUUUCCAUGUCAUGUCAGCAUCUUCU
This 233-nucleotide long non-coding RNA is filed under the name Lathyrus oleraceus (garden pea). Its description in RNAcentral is "Pisum sativum (pea) long non-coding RNA (PSAT_LNC042208)". Lineage: Eukaryota; Viridiplantae; Streptophyta; Magnoliopsida; Fabales; Fabaceae. The record is from RNAcentral.